UCGUUGAGAUAAAUUCUUCUCCCACGGCUGAACAAGAAAUUCAGCUGUUUACUAGAAUUAAACAAUGCCAUAAGGUGAAACUGCUGCUGCCUGAUCCAGGAACUUGAGUACCCAAGUCUGGUGUUUUUUCAGCGAUGUCCAGAUGUCAUAGUUAACGACGAUUUACUUGAUUGUGUAAUAAGAGUUUGUGCAGCAAAAAAUUAGGGUGUGUUAUCUUUGCCGUUUUCUGUUUUCGAUUUUCCAAAACAGUGAAAACGCAAAAGUGUCGUUGAGAUAAAUUCUUCUCCCACGGCUGAACAAGAAAUUCAGCUGUUUACUAGAAUUAAACAAUGCCAUAAGGUGAAACUGCUGCUGCCUGAUCCAGGAACUUGAGUACCCAAGUCUGGUUAUUAAUUAUUAUUCCAAACAUCUUGCAUUCAGUUUUCACAAGUAGAAUAUGUCAUUUUCAUAAAUAUGCACAUAUAUGCUUCACGUCUCUACACAUUUC
This 487-nucleotide long non-coding RNA is filed under the name Olea europaea (common olive). Its description in RNAcentral is "long non-coding RNA (OEUR_LNC008063)". The record is from RNAcentral. Lineage: Eukaryota; Viridiplantae; Streptophyta; Magnoliopsida; Lamiales; Oleaceae.